Molecule: ribosomal RNA, 254 nt
Filed under: uncultured bacterium
Lineage: Bacteria
Description: partial 16S ribosomal RNA
Rfam family: Bacterial small subunit ribosomal RNA
Source: RNAcentral
UACGGAGGGUGCAAGCGUUAAUCGGAAUUACUGGGCGUAAAGCGUGCGUAGGCGGUUCGUUAAGUCUGUUGUGAAAGCCCCGGGCUCAACCUGGGAAUGGCAAUGGAUACUGGCGAGCUAGAGUGUGUCAGAGGAUGGUGGAAUUCCCGGUUGUAGCGGUGAAAUGCGUAGAGAUCGGGAGGAACAUCAGUGGCGAAGGCGGCCAUCUGGGACAACACUGACGCUGAGGCACGAAAGCGUGGGGAGCAAACAGG